UGUAAGAAGUAAGAGGGCAAUGGACGAGUACACAUCGGAGAUAUUCAUGGGAGGGAAGAGCACAAUCGUUCUCCACAACACGUGUGAAGACUCCUUGUUGGCUGCUCCUAUCAUCUUGGACUUGGUCCUCCUGGCCGAGCUCAGUUCUCGGAUCCAACUCAAAGCAGAGGGAGAGGGCAAGUUCCACUCUUUCCACCCUGUGGCCACUAUUCUGAGCUACCUCAC
Long non-coding RNA from Telopea speciosissima, 225 nucleotides. RefSeq lists it as uncharacterized. The transcript has 2 exons. The record is from RefSeq and is a predicted model, not a curated record. NCBI's taxonomy places the organism in Eukaryota, Viridiplantae, Streptophyta, Magnoliopsida, Proteales, Proteaceae.